UACAUACUGCACCUUUAAAUAUUUUAUUUCAUUCUAUUUUUGUGUGUGGUGUGUGCUGAACGGUGCUGCUGUGGCACUUAACUUUCCCUCAAGAUUAUUAAUGUAAUUCUUAUUUCAUUGUUUUACAUAAAGUAGAGGAAUAAAAAGGUACUUCCGGGGCGGGAUUUAAUUUUGAUCGACAGGUCUCCCGCUCAAUCGUCGGACUCCUUCCGUUGGCUCGUAGUAGCAGAGCGAAAAUGGCGUAGAGCGGAGGGUGUACGGAGAAAGGGACGAGGGGAGCUUCUUCCCUGUCCUCCCCUCUCCGGGGUGCAGGGAGGGAGGAAAAGGGGGCGCUGGAGAUUCUUUAAAUGUGUCCUCAAACCUAUGGGGUCCCCCUCUCACGAAAUAAACCCGGCAACCGAGCAGUUUGGGAGACGUAAAUGUGUCACCGUAGAGAGAAAAGAAGAAACCCUCCUGGCUUUUGUUUACCAUUGUGUGCAGCUGCAGCUCAAACCACUGAGGAAAUAUCUCUGCAUCAUUUCGGACCACCGUCCACCAAGGAUGGAUUUUCCAGGCUGGAGGGAUGUCUACUAUAGAUAUCAGACUCAGCACCAAUGACGGAUCACUUCCACCUCCACCCAGACCCGUGGUGGUACAGAAUGAGGUGUGAAGAUGACCUCUUUUGGGACAAGGGGUGCCCUCCUUGCUGCUGUUUGCUGGGACGUUGGCCGUCUCUCCGCCACAGCAUCCCCUCCUGUCCUGGCCCGUCUCUGCAGCCUCAGAUCAUCAGUGAGGACAUCUGCCAAGGUUUUGGGCUAGUCUGACUUUCAUGACGCACGCUCUGACUACGUCUACAUGUAGCUACACAGUGGCUUUGCAGCCUUUAAGUUGGCUGAAAAAGCCAUGGAGCAUCUGCACUGGCCUUAUUUGCCUAAAAGUCUCCAUGAUGUGGACAUUUUCAGUCAGAUUUGGGUGAGAUUCUUGUCAGGCUUCAUGCAAACAUAGUUACUGAUGCUUCCUGAAUCAGUACAAAAAAAAAUCCCCACACACACUGUAAUUAGAUCAAAGCAGUUUCUUAACAAAUUCUUAACUGCUCCCGUUUUCUUGGAGUAAAGUAAAGACACAAGAUACUGUAGCAAAGAUCAAGGCCUGUGAUUAAAUUAGACUCAUAGGGUGUUUUUGUUCGUUUUUUUGCACUACCUCAUUGCCAUAACAAGUCCAACAGGAGUGAAAGGGAGUGUGAUCAGUACAAGUAGCCUAAUGGUUGUCAAGCGCCACAGCAGUUAUAUCAUUAUAUCGUAGAGGGAAAGACAGAGCAGCCCACAAAACAAGCACAGUUAUUUACUUUCAGUUCAGGAAAAAAAAAACACCGUCUCGCUGAAACUGUGGUCUCCUACGCAUCUGUUCUGGGGAAGAUUGUAUUUUUUAAUCAGUGCUCUCCUUUUUGUUUUUCUCCCUCCAUUGUGCUCUCUUUUGUCAAGUCCACAGGUUUAUUCACACGACUUAAUCUUUGAGAUUGCUUCAAUUCGGCAAUUUGCAGUGAUCUAAUUUAGUCUUUUCCCCCCUCGAGAUGCUCUUGUUUUGUCUUUUAUUCCCACAAUGAAGUGAUUUUUACCGCCUUGGCUUACUCUUCAUUGUGUCUUUGUCUUCUCUUUCUCCUUAACACACUUCUUUUUUUUUUUUGCCUUCCCUCUCUGGAUGUGUUCUGAUUUUGUCCUUUUUUAGACUUUGACAUGCUCUCAUUUUGUUCUUUUUUUUUCCAACUCAAUGUGAGCUCUCUUUAGUCUCAUUGUUUUCUAACCAUAUGAGUGACACAAGAACAUUCUUCACAAACUGCAAGUAGUGACAGAACUGACCAUUUGGUUCCUUUAGUGCCACGAACCAUGAAACAAACGAUCCAAAAACAACAAAAAAAAAGAGAAUUUGGUUUGUCAAACAUCAUGUUUUGUCUCUACCUGCUGUUUCUAGCUGUCCAGUUAGUUGAGAGAUACAAGUGCUGAAAUUGCAGCUUUAUUUCCAAUGAUUGAAAACUAUUAUCACCUUGAAUUUGACCUUACUUGAAGGGAAACCCUGGUCUCAUUUAUUCAGCUUUCUUUUAGUCCAUUUUUACAUGAUUUAUAUAAAAGAAAAAUCACAUUUUUCCGGGAUUUGUGCAAUAUUUGAUCUUAACUGUCAUGUUGUUGACCAAACUGUAUAUUGUAUAAACAAGUGACAAGUUGUUUGAAAGCAACAAAAUCACCAAUGUCUUCCAUUAAGAUAUAUAUAGACUCAUGUGCAUUAGCUUAUUUAGCGGGACUGUGGUGCCAACAUUAUAGUUGCCAUGCAUGACCAGUAGUGAUGCUUGCUUCAUGAAGAAUAGUGAAAUUGAUUUCUAGACUAAGCUGGAGCUCAAAACUGUGGAAAACAUUUCAGGCGAAUGGAAAAAGGGCGAUAGAUCGAUGUACAAUUAAAAUACACCACAUCAAGAUAGAAAUUUUAGACAAUCUCCCCUUUGUUCCAUGUCUCAGAUGUAGAAUAAGUUGCAUGAUUAAAAUCCAAUUAACACAAUCAGGGUAUAAAAUUAUAAAGUAUUGAUUUAAGCCGUUUCACAUAGGCCUAUAUGCUUCAUAUAAGUAAGUGCUUUCUCACAGAACUGCUGCUCUUAGGGAAAAAAUGCUAGCGAUGUUCAAAAUUGUAUUCAUGCACUCUAAAGCAUCAAAAGAAUUAGAUAGUUAUUAUGUGACAACCAAAAAAGCUCCCCAAAAUGGACAAUGGUGGAAAUAUUUGAAAAAUGUCACAUUAAGAGUAGUACUUAAAUUCUAGAUUUGGAUCUGAUUGAUGGCGAUCCAACGUAGCGUUUUAGUCCUAGAAUUAAGAUCUCACCAUGACCAUGUAUUGUACAUAAUACCUCAUAGUUUUGGGAUUCAGAGCGUUAUAUUUUAAUCCAUAAAAUUGUAUUUGAUUAGAGUUUUAGAAGCAAUAACCGACAAUAAUGCAUGAGUUUUAGUGCCAGGGUGUAAGUGUUAAACAGAUUCUGUAAUCUCUUGUGGAAAGGAUCCCCCUUCCUCUCUUUUAUGCCUACGGUAGCUAUCUAUUAGUCACUUUUUUUGGGAGUUGUAUAAUAUUUGGCUUUAGAAUACAGUAUCACUUAUUAUUAUGAAGAUUUGGGUUACUUCCUGCAGAACAAGGUAUGCGUGAGGACAGCUGUAGCAUCAUGGUGUUAUUACAUUUACAAAUUAAAAGUAAAUACUUAUAUAUUUUUCACAGACUAACUUCCCUGCCUUGUAUUCUUUCAGCACCAAAACAAUAAUCUAAACCAAUCGGUACAGGAGAGAUGCUUUAUAGUACAUAAAAUAAUAAAAUUACGAUUCUUGUAGCAUUUUUAAAUCUAUAAAACCCUCCCCCUCCUUUAGAAAUAUAGACUUUCAGUAACUCUGUGGCUGCAAAGGACUUACUGAACGAACUUGUUUGAAAAGCACUUUCUCUCUAUGUACUGACUUGCACCGUCAUCAUCACCAUCCUGUCUUGAAUACUGUGUUCUAAAAAAAAAAAAAAACCCUGUAAUGCUCUUUGUGGGGAUUUACAAUCACAAUUAAUGAGCAAGUAGGCGUUUAGCAACAUGAUUAAAUGGGUUUAAAAAAUAUGCAUGAAUUAGCAGAAAAAUGAAUGAUUUGUAUUGCAUGCAAUAAUCUAACUUUGUAAUGUGAAUGAGUGUAAUUAGGAUGUUGAAAUGUUCAUAUCAGAUGUUCUGUGACAAGGUUGGGAACGGUUGUUUGUUUGACACAACAGCAAGCAUGUUGAAGUAGCUUUGAUUUGAGUUUGGAUUAUACGGACUAACUGCUAGUCAUGAUACAAACCACCCCCC
Long non-coding RNA from Thunnus maccoyii (southern bluefin tuna), 3823 nucleotides. RefSeq lists it as uncharacterized. NCBI's taxonomy places the organism in Eukaryota, Metazoa, Chordata, Actinopteri, Scombriformes, Scombridae. The record is from RefSeq and is a predicted model, not a curated record. The transcript is spliced from 2 exons.